This 471-nucleotide ribosomal RNA is filed under the name uncultured bacterium. RNAcentral's name for it is "bacterial SSU rRNA". It matches the Rfam family "Bacterial small subunit ribosomal RNA", at positions 29 to 507 of the family's 1533-position model. The record is from RNAcentral.
AACGAACGCUGGCGGCGUGCCUAACACAUGCAAGUCGAACGAGAAAGUUUCCUUCGGGGAAUGAGUAAAGUGGCGCAAGGGUGAGUAACACGUGAAUAAUCUGCCUUCAAGACUGGGAUAACUUGACGAAAGUUAAGCUAAUACCGGAUAAGACCACGCUUCACAAGGAGUGCGGCCAAAGGGGUCUCAAACCCUGCUUGAAGAUGAGUUCGCGUACCAUUAGCUUGUUGGUGAGAUAACAGCUCACCAAGGCUACGAUGGUUAGCCGGCCUGAGAGGGUGAUCGGCCACACUGGAACUGAGACACGGUCCAGACUCCUACGGGAGGCAGCAGUGGGGAAUCUUGCGCAAUGGGCGAAAGCCUGACGCAGCAACGCCGCGUGAGCGAUGAAGGCCUUCGGGUCGUAAAGCUCUGUCAAGUGGGAAGAACACAAUGACGGUACCACUAGAGGAAGCCCCGGCUAACUUCGUG